Molecule: long non-coding RNA, 823 nt
Filed under: Amborella trichopoda
Lineage: Eukaryota; Viridiplantae; Streptophyta; Magnoliopsida; Amborellales; Amborellaceae
Description: long non-coding RNA (ATRI_LNC000102)
Source: RNAcentral
GUAAGCAUAAUGUGAUGAAUUGGUGGAGGAGGCUAGCUUUGCGGAUUUUGGCCUGUGCUUCCCACCGUUGAUUCCUCUCGUGCGGAAUUCCUCGUUGGGGCUUUAUUUUUAUUUUUUAAAAAUGUAAAAGAAAAAAAAUUAUGUUGUAAAAAAAAUAAAAGGAAAGAAAUACUCCUUUGGACCUUUAUUUUUAUUUUUUAAAAAAAGAAAAGAAAAAAAGUCAUGUUGUAAAAAAAUUAAGAGGAAAAAAUAAAAAAGAGAAGAAAAAAAUAUGAUGUAAAAAAAAUAAAAGGAAAAAAAUAAAAAUAAUAGGUAAUACAUCAAAUAUUUUUGGUAAAAAAAAUAAUACAUAUUUUUAUUUUUCUUGUCAAAAAAAAGAGAGUAAUAUAACGUAUUUCUUGUCAAAAAUCAAAUAAAAGAUAAUACAAAAAAAAUUAAAUGUAGUACAUCUUCUUAAUUUAUUUUUCAAAACACAAAAUAAAAAGUAAUACAACAAGUAUCAUAUUUUUCUUAGCAAAAAAACAAAGAUAAUACGACAAAUAUUUACUGUAAAAAAAAUAAAAGACAUUUAUGAAUACAACAAGUAUUUCUUAAUACGCACCUAGGAAUAAAUGAUGUAAUAUUAAAGUUAGUUAGGUUGUAAUAAUACACCCUAGGGCACCGAUCCGUUUUUUAAAUCACUGGUUUAUUCCAUCGAUAGUGUGGUCGUUUCUUGAUGUUUUUCAAUUAUUUCUUCACUGCAUCACACUGAGCAUGCCGUCAUGAUCGCGUGGCAACAAACGCAGCUUGAUUUCGUGUCCGGACGAGAAUUUUGCAACGUGGG